UCGAACGCUGGCGGCAUGCCUUACACAUGCAAGUCGAACGGUAGAGGGGCAACCCUUGAGAGUGGCGAACGGGUGAGUAAUAUAUCGGAACGUGCCCAGUCGUGGGGGAUAACGCAGCGAAAGCUGCGCUAAUACCGCAUACGAUCUAUGGAUGAAAGCGGGGGAUCGCAAGACCUCGCGCGAUUGGAGCGGCCGAUAUCAGAUUAGGUAGUUGGUGGGGUAAAAGCCCCACCAAGCCG
RNAcentral lists this ribosomal RNA (239 nucleotides) under uncultured bacterium. Its description in RNAcentral is "partial 16S ribosomal RNA". It matches the Rfam family "Bacterial small subunit ribosomal RNA", at positions 30 to 275 of the family's 1533-position model. The record is from RNAcentral.